GGUGAGAACAUAGGGAAAACCAGAGUUUAUGUAAUGCACCUCCAUCUGCCAGUAAUUCAUCUGAGACUAUUUUUCUGUUAUCAAAAAGAAAUGCGCAAGCAUUUAGUUCAAAUUCAUCACGUUCCUCAAGAGGAUCAAGAUCUUAAGGAUCUUAAGGAGAAAUUUCACCAUAUACCCUUCUGAUCUUUAGCAAUCAACCAUUUAACAUGAAGAUUGGAUUUGCCUGUGCUACUUCAUCCCGCAAUACAAAUUCUGCGGAUGUCGCUUUGGGUCACUUUCCAAGAAUUUCCCCACCACACUGCAAGAGCAAGAAACAAACAGAGAGGUUAGAUCUCAAGGCAAGAAUCAUCCAAGGCUCCCAAUUAAACGAUUGCAUCACGUCCUGUCCUCUUAUAGAUCCAAGAACCAACGUCAAAAAGAUAUCAGCAUUGUAAUGCAUCCAUAACUAUCUACUGGGGGAACUGUUUUUGUGCACACUGGAAGAGAGAUAUGCUCGAGGAGGGGAAUCUUACUAGCAGAGUAGCGCGGGAGAGAUCAAAACUC
RNAcentral lists this long non-coding RNA (543 nucleotides) under Spirodela polyrhiza (greater duckweed). Its description in RNAcentral is "long non-coding RNA (SPOL_LNC000157)". The record is from RNAcentral. Lineage: Eukaryota; Viridiplantae; Streptophyta; Magnoliopsida; Alismatales; Araceae.